RNAcentral lists this ribosomal RNA (465 nucleotides) under uncultured Zoogloea sp. RNAcentral describes it as "bacterial SSU rRNA". It matches the Rfam family "Bacterial small subunit ribosomal RNA", at positions 338 to 795 of the family's 1533-position model. The record is from RNAcentral. Lineage: Bacteria; Pseudomonadati; Pseudomonadota; Betaproteobacteria; Rhodocyclales; Zoogloeaceae.
CCUACGGGGGGCAGCAGUGGGGAAUUUUGGACAAUGGGCGAAAGCCUGAUCCAGCCAUGCCGCGUGAGUGAAGAAGGCCUUCGGGUUGUAAAGCUCUUUCAGACGGAAAGAAAUCUUCUGGGCUAAUACCCUGGGAGGAUGACGGUACCGUAAGAAGAAGCACCGGCUAACUACGUGCCAGCAGCCGCGGUAAUACGUAGGGUGCGAGCGUUAAUCGGAAUUACUGGGCGUAAAGCGUGCGCAGGCGGUGAUGUAAGACAGAUGUGAAAUCCCCGGGCUCAACCUGGGAACUGCGUUUGUGACUGCAUCACUCGAGUACGGCAGAGGGAGGUGGAAUUCCGCGUGUAGCAGUGAAAUGCGUAGAGAUGCGGAGGAACACCGAUGGCGAAGGCAGCCUCCUGGGCCAGUACUGACGCUCAUGCACGAAAGCGUGGGGAGCAAACAGGAUUAGAUACCCGAGUAGUC